RNAcentral lists this ribosomal RNA (484 nucleotides) under uncultured bacterium. Its description in RNAcentral is "partial 16S ribosomal RNA". It matches the Rfam family "Bacterial small subunit ribosomal RNA", at positions 28 to 507 of the family's 1533-position model. The record is from RNAcentral.
AUUGAACUCUGGCGGCUUGUUUUACACAUUCCUGUCUAACUUCGGCGCGCGCUUCGCCCUGGAGGCGAUUGGCUAUCGUGUGCGUCAUGCAUCUGAACCUGCCCAGUAGUCGGGGGUAUCCCCGCGCAAGCCCGAUUAAUACCGCCUGCGCCCCUAGCGUUCCACCCGGGGACCCAAAGGCCUCGCGCUAUUGGAUCCGCCGAGGUCGGAUUAGCUAGUUGGUGGGGCAAAGGCGUACCAAGGCGACGAUCCGUAGCUGGUCUGAGAGGACGACCAGACACACGGGGACUGAGACAGGGCCCAGACGCCUACGGGAGGCAGCAGUGGGGAAUUGGGGACAAAGGGGGCAACCAUGAUCCAGCGAUGCCGCGUGCGGGAAGAAGGACUGCGGGUUGUAAACCGCUUUUGAGCGGGAAGAAAUCCUCUGGGCUAAUACCCCGGGGGGAUGACGGUACCGGAAGAAUAAGCACCGGCUAACUAAGUG